UCGAGAAUUUUUCACAAUGGGCGCAAGCCUGAUGGAGCGACGCCGCGUGGGGGAUGAAGGGCUUCGGCUCGUAAACCCCUGUCAUUUGCGAACAAACCUUGCUGGUGAAUAGCUUGCAAGUUGAUUGUAGCGAAAGAGGAAGGGACGGCUAACUCUGUGCCAGCAGCCGCGGUAAUACAGAGGUCCCGAGCGUUGUUCGGAUUCACUGGGCGUAAAGGGUGCGUAGGCGGUCGAGCAAGUCUGAUGUGAAAUCUCCAGGCUCAACCUGGAAAAGGCAUUGGAAACUGCCCGGCUGGAGGCUUGGAGGGGGGACUGGAAUACUUGGUGUAGCAGUGAAAUGCGUAGAUAUCAAGUGGAACACCAGUGGCGAAGGCGAGUCCCUGGACAAGACCUGACGCUGAGGCACGAAAGCUAGGGGAGCAAACAGG
RNAcentral lists this ribosomal RNA (428 nucleotides) under uncultured bacterium. RNAcentral's name for it is "bacterial SSU rRNA". It matches the Rfam family "Bacterial small subunit ribosomal RNA", at positions 355 to 776 of the family's 1533-position model. The record is from RNAcentral.